RNAcentral lists this ribosomal RNA (425 nucleotides) under uncultured bacterium. RNAcentral describes it as "partial 16S ribosomal RNA". It matches the Rfam family "Bacterial small subunit ribosomal RNA", at positions 354 to 796 of the family's 1533-position model. The record is from RNAcentral.
GUAGGGAAUAUUGGGCAAUGGAGGCAACUCUGACCCAGCCAUGCCGCGUGAGCGAUGAAGGCCUUAGGGUUGUAAAGCUCUUUCAGCUGGGAAGAUAAUGACGGUACCAGCAGAAGAAGCCCCGGCUAACUCCGUGCCAGCAGCCGCGGUAAUACGGAGGGGGCUAGCGUUGUUCGGAAUUACUGGGCGUAAAGCGAACGUAGGCGGAUCAGAAAGUCAGAGGUGAAAUCCCAGGGCUAAACCUUGGAACUGCCUUUGAAGCGCCUGGUCUUGAGGUCGAGAGAGGUGAGUGGAAUUCCGAGUGUAGAGGUGAAAUUCGUAGAUAUUCGGAGGAACACCAGUGGCGAAGGCGGCUCACUGGCUCGAUACUGACGCUGAGGUGCGAAAGCGUGGGGAGCAAACAGGAUUAGAUACCCUAGUAGUCC